Molecule: ribosomal RNA, 253 nt
Filed under: uncultured bacterium
Lineage: Bacteria
Description: partial 16S ribosomal RNA
Rfam family: Bacterial small subunit ribosomal RNA
Source: RNAcentral
UACGUAGGGUGCGAGCGUUAAUCGGAAUUACUGGGCGUAAAGCGUGCGCAGGCGGUUUUGUAAGACAGGCGUGAAAUCCCCGGGCUUAAACUGGGAAAUGCGUUUGUGACUGCAAGGCUAGAGUAUGGCAGAGGGGGGUAGAAUUCCACGUGUAGCAGUGAAAUGCGUAGAGAUGUGGAGGAAUACCGAUGGCGAAGGCAGCCCCCUGGGUCAAUACUGACGCUCAUGCACGAAAGCGUGGGGAGCAAACAGG